AUGGCCGCUCGCAUCGGCGCUGCUGUCCUCUGCGUGGUGUUGAUCGUUAGCCUGGGGCUCAUAGCCACGCCGACCGAAGCUCGCGCCGUGGCGGGCGUCGUCUAUGCUGCCGCGGUCGCCAAUGCGGCCGGCGCCGCGGCCGCUACCAGCGGCGCAGGCGUUCCUCCGGGGAGGUGGAACGCGAGGAGGCUGCAGGGAGACGCCGCUCACAAGCGGGAGGUGCCAGGCGGCCCGGACCCGGAGCACCAUCACUAG
RNAcentral lists this ribosomal RNA (255 nucleotides) under Triticum aestivum (bread wheat). Its description in RNAcentral is "partial small subunit ribosomal RNA". Lineage: Eukaryota; Viridiplantae; Streptophyta; Magnoliopsida; Poales; Poaceae. The record is from RNAcentral.